RNAcentral lists this ribosomal RNA (4355 nucleotides) under Triticum aestivum (bread wheat). Its description in RNAcentral is "partial small subunit ribosomal RNA". Lineage: Eukaryota; Viridiplantae; Streptophyta; Magnoliopsida; Poales; Poaceae. The record is from RNAcentral.
UACGGUGGAAGAAGCUACGCUGCAACAGCUGUGGCAGCGGUUGUUCAUGCCGACCCUGGGGCAGUGCCUCCAGGCCCAGACCGGCGAGUUGUGGUUCCCGCGCGAGCAGCCGCGGCAAGUCGCCAUGCUCAAGGCGCGGCCACGCCCCCGCGGCGCCAGCGCGACCGUGCCCGGAGACUGCCCCGGCAGUUGACCUCGGCGGGGCUGCGGGGGCGCCACCUCCUCCACCAGACCGGGCUGCCCCAGCUGAAGCAGCGGCCGCUGCCGCGGGACCGCAAGCCGUGGCCGCAGUCCCUGUACCUGUAUCAUCCGGGCAAGCUCGACCACCAGAGGCUACCGCGACCGCCCCCGGAGCGUCUCGAGGUCGACGGCAGCCACAGGACAGAGGCCGCAAGAACUCGUGGUAACCCAGCUCCUUCCUCUUCGGUAGGAUACCUGAUUUUGUCAAACACACUCUAAAAUAAAAGACCACCCAAAUAAUCGACCGAACCUUUACGAGGGAACUGUAACAGAGUAAGUAGUUGUGUUUCUAACAGUCGGAAAUGGGUUAACGUUCUAGAAGUCUUAUUUUUUCCCCUCUGACUCUGGCCAUCUUUUCUCUAAGAAGUCAUGUGUUAUAUACGUAGACAACUAAAACGUUAACAGGUCCAAUCUAAGAGAUUUUAUAAGUUCCUAGAGAACCUGUAAAAAAACCCGUAACAACUAGGUACUUAGUCGACAAAAGCUUAAGCCUUUGUCAACUUAAGGACCUUUUGGUAAAGUGGUGUGCACAAGUCAAACAAUAAAACUCAGGUACGGGGGACGAAUGUGUCGCCGCUCCGGUUGGUCCCGCAUGUCCCCGCCUCAGCCGUUGAACCAUCACGCAGGUAAAUGCGCACCACCGGACGCCUAAACCCACGUACUGUCGGCCGGUUGUACGACACACCCGCACUACAACAGCUGUACAACAUGUACUCACAACCGACGGUCUCCGCGCGCACCGACUGGCUAUUCACACACCACGAACUCCUAUCGAAAUAAGUAUAAGAAGGUUAAAGCUCUCUCCUUCUCUUGAGUCAUCAUGACGGUUAAAACCGUGCGUUACAAGCAAAAAGUCUAAGUGGUACUAACCAUUACAACAAAUCAUGAAAUUGAAACAGUACCAAGUUAUUUAUCCGUCAAUUAAAAACAACAAACUUUCCUUUUCGUCACGAUGUUAUCGUGCCAACUAAAACCAACGAUCUUCCUUUUAGUCACGAUGUUUAAAAUCUUGAUCCUACAACAAAAAGUGUCAAGCCAGUUCAUAACGAAUAAACGUAACAUGCUAGUGUUGAAAUUCGAAUUAGAAGAAAAUCAACACAUCGUAACAUCUGGACCCAGGAAAUAAGGAUCGUCUAGUUGUGUAAACCAGUCUAAAUCGAAUAAACUAUUACACGUUUGUUAUUUACCACACUUAUAUACGCCUCAAGCUACCUUUUGUAACUUCACAUACUACGAGGUCCGAGCCGCUGUUCACAACAGCAGUACUCCGGUCUGCUGAACAACGCGGUUAGGCCACUCUCGUAGGUUAUCGCCUUACAGUAGGCUUCUUAGUACAGGUCACUCAUCAGGUCGAGGUCGUUGUUUUGGUGUAGACCAAAAGUGGUUGUUCGACCUGGUCGCCGUAACAUGAGCCCAAAACAAACCACUCUAAGAGAAGUCUUUUGUUCUAAACAUAACCACCAUCUAACUGUCGUUGACUGUCGUAGAAGCAGUAGGCGCCACCGUCACGGCAGGCGCGCCUUACGGAAGACGCAGGCGCGGAGGCGGUGGCUGUGGCGGUGCGUCGGUUACUACAGCCGUACACCACUUUUUUCCCGGGUUCACUUUCCAGCUGGUUCGACAUUUUUAAGUCACUUCUCCUUAAAAACACGAGUGUCGAGUGUGGUACCGCAGGCAACGGAGACAAGAAUGAAAUAAUAAAACAAAAAGGGAAGCAGCUAAAAAGUGCAGCGGACUGUUCUUGUUCUUAACGUUUCUUCUUCACUUUUCUUUUGUGUCUUGUUUCCUACUUGCGGUCUCUCGUGAUGAUAUAUAAAAAGGGGGUUUUAUACUACCCGUCACCACACGAACAAACGUAACUAGCGUACCACCGGUCGUGAAGUGGUGUGUAGACUGCCGCUGACAAAAUAGGUACUCCACCUCCUAUUCUCUUCGCGUAGAGACUUUAAGUGUCAAAACUUGGAUUUCUCUGUGUAGAUCUUUUACUAACGUGCUCACCAAGGUCACAGUACAUGCAGUUGUACCAACCUCUAAACCCUAGCCUACGACGCGGUUCUCGCUCCCUGUCUCCACGACUUGAUUGUCGUCCCCCCUCCCACUAAGAAGUCCAUGGUUGUACCGACAGCUGAUCUCUUAAAUCAAUUGGCAAACGAAAUGAACUUCGAGGUUUAACAUCAAUAAAAUAAACAAGUGAUUAAACCAUAUUAGGAUUAUAUCCUCCUGAUACUAACAUACUAUACUCUAGGACUGUAAAUCGUUAUUAUUUUCAGACCGUGACUUACCAAGAAAAGCCUUCAUGUCAACAUUCUAGAUACUAAGAUCGAAGCUGGAAAUUGACCUGUCAUGAUUAACCUGUAUAUUAACUAAUAAAUACGUGUUGUUCUAUAAGACAAACAAAAUCAAAAAGUUAGUCUAAGUAGAUCGGGAAACAACUUAAAGAUUAACAAGGUGGGAGAUGGAGACUUUGAGUCUUUAGUCUCUUUCCAGUAACCGUAUAGGGAUAGAGACUGCCUUUAAACGAUCGCUCCUUCUCCUGGUCUUACAAAAAAGAUAACAACCCCUAUAUGUAUUAUGUAUAUCUAUUUAAACCUGGUAAAUAUUGUCUCUAAAGAACGGUUUUUAUAAUUGAGACAGGUCGUCACCCGUGACAGUUCCAUUAUUGUCCUUAAACGACUUGGAUUAACUUUCUUUCUCCCUACCAUUAGGCUAGCUCUUGUAAGAGAUUGAUUUUAUCUGAAUGCUUGUUAGUUGUUAUAGUUUAUUAAAGUUUAAUUGUUUACAACAAACUAAUUUUAUGACUAAAUUCUUAAACCGCUUAGAUAUUAAGAGAUGUAUCUCGGACAAGCCUUUACCAGACCGAGGAGUCUUAGGAGCUGAGGCCGAGGACGAGGGCUUUAUGACGAGGAGCAUUUUUUAUCGGGACUUUUUUUUGACAAGCUGUCUGUCGAGGCGAGGAACUAAGUGAACACCGCCCACCUCCUUUGUCUUUGCUCGCUCAGCACACCGGCGAGACUUGGCAAAGGGUGAACCGCCACCGUCAAGGAAACAUUUAAAAUAGUUGAGGUACUAUAACUUCUAGACUCUAGACUCUUAAUCGGCGAGGUGUUUUAACGUGUCGUCGGGCGAAGUGAGGUACAAAAGUCGAGGCACCUCGAGUUCGCAAGCCGCGGCGAGGUGGUUGAGGCCCUCACCUCAACUCCUCGUCUCUCUUUGGCUUGUGUGGGUAUUAGUGAACCACGUAACAAUCUGGUGAACCCCUGUUAUAGUAGUUAAAGAACGUAUGACGUUAUUACGUUCAAAUUUUUCGGUCAAAGAACACAAAGAAUAAUAGAGACACAAGUCGAUUGACGGUUCUUAGUAUAUUCCUACGUAGAUUACUCCAUCUAAAACAAAUACGUAAAAAAUUCACAUAUCCCUACGACAUAGACUAAUUGUUUUGUAACAAGUUGGAAGAUACUCAGGUGGAUCCCUCGACGUGUUUAAACCUUGUUGAAGGUCUUGUCCGUAGGUUCGUAAAACCAGACGAUGGUCAUUCGACGGUCUCGUUCUAUCGACCCUCAGACCCUACAGCUCAGCAGCUCGGCAGGUUACGGUUCAAGCGGCCGCCUUCCUCUUGUAGGCAGUUCGGCAGGCAGCGGACUCCGCCGAUGUGGUCUCCAGGCACCCAAUGAUGAGGAAACGAGAACGACCGCUGGCCGGAGGUCUCAUCGUGAACGAACUCUAGACUAGAUCUUGACUUAACACGGGACGAAACGACACCAGCAUACGAGAUACAGGUGGCUACUCAAAGUCUAUGUCUAAUCCUGGUUUUAACCUCAUCCAAGUCAGCGCGUUUACAACAUAGUGAAACAGUACCCAUAACACGACAACUUAACGAACAACCUGACAAGUUUGAUUUCAGCAGGUCAGUCAAACGAUGUUACAAGUAAACAAAUGAAACCUUCAAGACAUCUUAAACCCGGACUAGUGAAAGCUUAAACAGACACCAAACUCUAAUUAGAAAGGCUCUACAAUCUCUCACCCAGGUUCCUACCUAGACGGGUAGUCACACGUCUCCUAGAAGAUUAAGGACGUCGAUUAGAACUAAGUACCUAUAACACAAACGAGACACCGCG